RNAcentral lists this ribosomal RNA (769 nucleotides) under uncultured Enterobacteriaceae bacterium. RNAcentral's name for it is "bacterial SSU rRNA". It matches the Rfam family "Bacterial small subunit ribosomal RNA", at positions 731 to 1502 of the family's 1533-position model. Lineage: Bacteria; Pseudomonadati; Pseudomonadota; Gammaproteobacteria; Enterobacterales; Enterobacteriaceae. The record is from RNAcentral.
UGGACAGUACUGACGCUGAGAUGCGAAGCGUGGGGAGCAAACAGGAUUAGAUACCUGGUAGUCCACGCUGUAAACGAUGUCGAUUUGGAGUUUGUUGCCUAGAGUGAUGGGCUCCGAAGCUAACGCGAUAAAUCGACCGCCUGGGGAGUACGGCCGCAAGGUUAAAACUCAAAUGAAUUGACGGGGGCCCGCACAAGCGGUGGAGCAUGUGGUUUAAUUCGAUGCAACGCGAAGAACCUUACCUGGUCUUGACAUCCAUAGAAUUCUGCAGAGAUGUGGGAGUGCCUUCGGGAACUAUGAGACAGGUGCUGCAUGGCUGUCGUCAGCUCGUGUUGUGAAAUGUUGGGUUAAGUCCCGCAACGAGCGCAACCCUUAUUCUUUGUUGCCAGCGAUUUGGUCGGGAACUCAAAGGAGACUGCCGUUGAUAAAGCGGAGGAAGGUGGGGACGACGUCAAGUCAUCAUGGCCCUUACGACCAGGGCUACACACGUGCUACAAUGGCGUAUACAAAGGGAAGCGAAGGUGCGAGCUGGAGCGGAUCUCAUAAAGUACGUCUAAGUUCGGAUUGGAGUCUGCAACUCGACUCCAUGAAGUCGGAAUCGCUAGUAAUCGUAGAUCAGAAUGCUACGGUGAAUACGUUCCCGGGCCUUGUACACACCGCCCGUCACACCAUGGGAGUGGGUUGCACCAGAAGUAGAUAGCUUAACCGCGAGGGGGGCGUUUACCACGGUGUGAUUCAUGACUGGGGUGAAGUCGUAACAAGGUAACCA